CCUCCUUAUACGAUUUAGAACUUAUUUGUUCGUAGUGUCCACACAGAUGAUUGUUAGUUAGUUUUACCCUUUGGGUUGAACUGAUUAAUAUGCUCUUUAAAAAUUUGGAAAAGCUGAUAAUAAAAUUCGUAUGAAUAACACUGUUAUUUGUACAGAGUUUUCAAAAGUAAAAAAGAAUGAUAGCAGUAUCAUUCAGUGCCAAUUUAAUCAUUCAUGAUUAAUUGGUAUCUACUUUAGUAUUCAAUAUUAACUUCUGGCGAAGUUAAACUGUCACAUAACAAAGACCCGUUUGGGUUGUAUGGUUAAGUGACUAAGCGUACACGGUGGAUGCCUUGGCAGUUGGAGGCGAUGAAGGACGUAUUAACUUGCGAUAAGCCUAGUCAAGCUAGUAAAAAGCGCUUGAGACUAGGAUUCCCGA
RNAcentral lists this unclassified non-coding RNA (418 nucleotides) under uncultured Pseudoalteromonas sp. RNAcentral's name for it is "partial 16S-23S ribosomal RNA intergenic spacer". The stretch from base 301 to 418 matches the Rfam family "Bacterial large subunit ribosomal RNA", at positions 1 to 117 of the family's 2925-position model. The record is from RNAcentral. Lineage: Bacteria; Pseudomonadati; Pseudomonadota; Gammaproteobacteria; Alteromonadales; Pseudoalteromonadaceae.